AUUGAACGCUGGCGGCUGGCUUAACACAUGCAAGUCGAACGAUGAUUAUCUAGCUUGCUAGAUAUGAUUAGUGGCGGACGGGUGAGUAACAUUUAGGAAUCUGCCUAGUAGUGGGGGAUAGCUCGGGGGAACUCGAAUUAAUACCGCAUACGACCUACGGGUGAAAGGGGGCGCAAGCUCUUGCUAUUAGAUGAGCCUAAAUCAGAUUAGCUAGUUGGUGGGGUAAAGGCCCACCAAGGCGACGAUCUGUAACUGGUCUGAGAGGAUGAUCAGUCACACCGGAACUGAGACACGGUCCGGACUCCUACGGGAGGCAGCAGUGGGGAAUAUUGGACAAUGGGGGCAACCCUGAUCCAGCCAUGCCGCGUGUGUGAAGAAGGCCUUUUGGUUGUAAAGCACUUUAAGCAGGGAGGAGAGGCUAAUGGUUAAUACCCAUUAGAUUAGACGUUACCUGCAGAAUAAGCACCGGCUAACUCUGUGCCAGCAGCCGCGGUAAUACAGAGGGUGCGAGCGUUAAUCGGAAUUACUGGGUGUAAAGCGAGUGUAGGUGGCUCAUUAAGUCACAUGUGAAAUCCCCGGGCUUAACCUGGGAACUGCAUGUGAUACUGGUGGUGCUAGAAUAUGUGAGAGGGAAGUAGAAUUCCAGGUGUAGCGGUGAAAUGCGUAGAGAUCUGGAGGAAUACCGAUGGCGAAGGCAGCUUCCUGGCAUAAUAUUGACACUGAGAUUCGAAAGCGUGGGUAGCAAACAGGAUUAGAUACCCUGGUAGUCCACGCCGUAAACGAUGUCUACUAGCCGUUGGGGUCCUUGAGACUUUAGUGGCGCAGUUAACGCGAUAAGUAGACCGCCUGGGGAGUACGGCCGCAAGGUUAAAACUCAAAUGAAUUGACGGGGGCCCGCACAAGCGGUGGAGCAUGUGGUUUAAUUCGAUGCAACGCGAAGAACCUUACCUGGUCUUGACAUAGUGAGAAUCCUGCAGAGAUGCGGGAGUGCCUUCGGGAAUUCACAUACAGGCGCUGCAUGGCUGUCGUCAGCUCGUGUCGUGAGAUGUUGGGUUAAGUCCCGCAACGAGCGCAACCCUUUUCCUUAUUUGCCAGCGGGUUAAGCCGGGAACUUUAAGGAUACUGCCAGUGACAAACUGGAGGAAGGCGGGGACGACGUCAAGUCAUCAUGGCCCUUACGACCAGGGCUACACACGUGCUACAAUGGUAGGUACAGAGGGUUGCUACACAGCGAUGUGAUGCUAAUCUCAAAAAGCCUAUCGUAGUCCGGAUUGGAGUCUGCAACUCGACUCCAUGAAGUCGGAAUCGCUAGUAAUCGCGGAUCAGAAUGCCGCGGUGAAUACGUUCCCGGGCCU
This 1355-nucleotide ribosomal RNA is filed under the name uncultured bacterium. RNAcentral describes it as "bacterial SSU rRNA". It matches the Rfam family "Bacterial small subunit ribosomal RNA", at positions 28 to 1381 of the family's 1533-position model. The record is from RNAcentral.